This 83-nucleotide microRNA precursor is filed under the name Marmota monax (woodchuck). The record is from RNAcentral. Lineage: Eukaryota; Metazoa; Chordata; Mammalia; Rodentia; Sciuridae.
GAUGAGAGAAAUUGAAGAUACAGGUCAGUGGUAGAGCAUAGGGGUGCUCUACCACUGACCUGUAUCUCCAAACUUUUUAUUUA